GAUGAACGCUGGCGGCGUGCCUAAUACAUGCAAGUCGAGCGAACAGACGAGGAGCUUGCUCCUUCGACGUUAGCGGCGGACGGGUGAGUAACACGUAGGUAACCUACCUAUAAGACUGGGAUAACUUCGGGAAACCGGAGCUAAUACCGGAUAAUAUUUCGAACCGCAUGGUUCGAUCGUGAAAGAUGGCUUUGCUAUCACUUAUAGAUGGACCUGCGCCGUAUUAGCUAGUUGGUAAGGUAACGGCUUACCAAGGCAACGAUACGUAGCCGACCUGAGAGGGGGAUCGGCCACACUGGAACUGGGACACGGUCCAGACUCCUACGGGAGGCAGCAGUAGGGAAUCUUCCGCAAUGGACGAAAGCCUGACGGAGCAACGCCGCGUGAGUGAUGAAGGUCUUCGGAUCGUAAAACUCUGUUAUUAGGGAAGAACAAACGUGUAAGUAACUGUGCACGUCUUGACGGUACCUAAUCAGAAAGCCACGGCUAACUACGUG
This 497-nucleotide ribosomal RNA is filed under the name uncultured bacterium. Its description in RNAcentral is "partial 16S ribosomal RNA". It matches the Rfam family "Bacterial small subunit ribosomal RNA", at positions 28 to 507 of the family's 1533-position model. The record is from RNAcentral.